UUUGGAGCCUGCACAAUUGUUCUGCAAAAGGCAGUGGCUCCGCCGAACGUUGGAUGGGCCCUUGGUCUGGUGAUAUCAGAAAGAAGCAUGCCAUACCUAAGACCUACUACCCUGAGAAGCAGUGAAGUGUUCCUGGGGCCCACCAAGGCCACACAAGUCAAGGAGUGGAUGGCCUUGCUCCAGCUACUGCUCAGAUCAUCUUUGCAAGAUGACAUUGUGUUGGGAGAUGGUCAUCAGAGCCAGGGCCAUGGAAGAUGCUGUCAGGAGGAG
This 270-nucleotide long non-coding RNA is filed under the name Pongo abelii (Sumatran orangutan). RNAcentral's name for it is "lincRNA". The record is from RNAcentral. Lineage: Eukaryota; Metazoa; Chordata; Mammalia; Primates; Hominidae.